UACGGAGGGUGCAAGCGUUAUCCGGAUUCACUGGGUUUAAAGGGUGCGUAGGUGGGCAAGUAAGUCAGUGGUGAAAUCUUCGGGCUUAACCCGGAAACUGCCAUUGAUACUAUUUGUCUUGAAUACUGUGGAGGUCAGCGGAAUAUGUCAUGUAGCGGUGAAAUGCUUAGAUAUGACAUAGAACACCAAUUGCGAAGGCAGCUGGCUACACAAAUAUUGACACUGAGGCACGAAAGCGUGGGGAUCAAACAGG
RNAcentral lists this ribosomal RNA (253 nucleotides) under uncultured bacterium. RNAcentral's name for it is "partial 16S ribosomal RNA". It matches the Rfam family "Bacterial small subunit ribosomal RNA", at positions 524 to 776 of the family's 1533-position model. The record is from RNAcentral.